GAUGAAGAACGCAGCAAAAUGCGAUAAGUAAUGUGAAUUGCAGAAUUCAGUGAAUCAUCGAAUCUUUGAACGCACAUUGCGCCCGCUGGUAUUCCGGCGGGCAUGCCUGUUCGAGCGUCAUUUCAACCCUCAAGCCCCCGGGUUUGGUGUUGGGGAUCGGCUCUGCCCUUCUGGGCGGUGCCGCCCCCGAAAUACAUUGGCAGUCUCGCUGCAGCCUCCAUUGCGUAGUAGCUAACACCUCGCAACUGGAACGCGGCGCGGCCAUGCCGUAAAACCCCAACUUCUGAAUGUUGACCUCGGAUCAGGUAGGAAUACCCGCUGAACUUAAGCAUAUCAAUAAGCGGAGGA
RNAcentral lists this unclassified non-coding RNA (348 nucleotides) under soil metagenome. RNAcentral's name for it is "partial contains 5.8S ribosomal RNA, internal transcribed spacer 2, and large subunit ribosomal RNA". The stretch from base 1 to 120 matches the Rfam family "5.8S ribosomal RNA", at positions 35 to 154 of the family's 154-position model. The record is from RNAcentral.